GAAAUUUCCCUGAUGGGAGGACACAUCACCUAGGCCUCUCAAACAGGACUCCAGCCUGGUUAUCUUCAAGGGGCUUCCCCAGCUAGUGAGGUUGGAUGUUGUUAACGGAGUCUAUCCAUCUCAAGCUUCCUCGUGAAGAGAGCGUUUUAAAGAAGCGGGGUUCCAGCAGAUGUCUGAGAAGGAGCACUUGACCCUUUGAGAAAGAGGUUCAGAGAUCAAUGGGAAUAUGCAAAUGUUAAGACAAAAUCCAGAGCUGCGAGGUCAAGCUCUAAAUGUCACCAUCAAUCACUAUGGUCUGAAGUCUUCACCGGGUGUAAAAGGUGCCCUACAGACUGAAAUGUGUAGGGAGAGCUGUUUUUGUUAUUAAGAUUCUGCUUUUGGGGCACCUGGGUGGCUCAGUUGGUUAAGCGUCUGUCUUCUGUUUAAUCGUGAUCCCAGGGUUCUGGGAUAGAGUCCAGGGUCAGGCUCCCUCUUCCUCUGUCCCUCCCCUGC
Molecule: long non-coding RNA, 492 nt
Organism: Canis lupus familiaris (dog)
Lineage: Eukaryota; Metazoa; Chordata; Mammalia; Carnivora; Canidae
Exons: 3
Source: RefSeq, a predicted model, not a curated record